AUGAACGUAACACGUGGCUUGAAUAUCGGAUGAAUCCUGUCUGGCAUGUCAUACGAGGGAUUUGUAAUCCUGGACGGGAACAACAUAUCCUGCCCUCCUAAGGUGUUGCAGGUGGAUAUUUUCACCAGAGGGACACGCUGACCUGCUACACCGGUUCAUUGUGUGAACACAUCCGAACAAGGCUGGCGUGGUACUGACAGACCCAGAUGGGCUAACAACAUGUCCGACAGACUCGAGCCAUGGGCAUGGGUGGUGGUAGUGGCGUCGCUUUGUGCUCUUUUCCUCAACACGAGCCUAUCCAGUAUUGCUGGCGUCAUGCACGUGGCGCUUCUCGAGACGUUUCAAGAUGACGUCACACUGACGUCAUGGGUUGGCUCUCUCUACUCCUGCAUGUUUGCCCUUUCAGGUCCCGUGGCCAGCUUCAUCAUCAACAGAUGGAACUGUCGGUGUUGUGUCAUAGUAAGCGGUGUGUUUGGCCUCGUUGGGUUUGCUUCC
Haliotis rubra (blacklip abalone) is the source of this 495-nucleotide long non-coding RNA. RefSeq lists it as uncharacterized. The record is from RefSeq and is a predicted model, not a curated record. NCBI's taxonomy places the organism in Eukaryota, Metazoa, Mollusca, Gastropoda, Lepetellida, Haliotidae. The transcript is spliced from 3 exons.